AUUGAACGCUGGCGGCAGGCUUAACACAUGCAAGUCGAGCGGGGGAAGGUAGCUUGCUACUGGACCUAGCGGCGGACGGGUGAGUAAUGCUUAGGAAUCUGCCUAUUAGUGGGGGACAACAUCUCGAAAGGGAUGCUAAUACCGCAUACGUCCUACGGGAGAAAGCAGGGGAUCUUCGGACCUUGCGCUAAUAGAUGAGCCUAAGUCGGAUUAGCUAGUUGGUGGGGUAAAGGCCUACCAAGGCGACGAUCUGUAGCGGGUCUGAGAGGAUGAUCCGCCACACUGGGACUGAGACACGGCCCAGACUCCUACGGGAGGCAGCAGUGGGGAAUAUUGGACAAUGGGGGGAACCCUGAUCCAGCCAUGCCGCGUGUGUGAAGAAGGCCUUAUGGUUGUAAAGCACUUUAAGCGAGGAGGAGGCUACUCUAGUUAAUACCUAGGGAUAGUGGACGUUACUCGCAGAAUAAGCACCGGCUAACUACGUGCCAGCCGCCGCCGUAA
Molecule: ribosomal RNA, 501 nt
Filed under: uncultured bacterium
Lineage: Bacteria
Description: partial 16S ribosomal RNA
Rfam family: Bacterial small subunit ribosomal RNA
Source: RNAcentral